GUUGUAUAGUCAAGUAAUUAAGUGCAUGUGGUGGAUGCCUUGGCAGUCAGAGGCGAUGAAAGACGUGAUAGCCUGCGAAAAGCUCCGGGGAGGCGGCAAAUAUCCUUUGAUCCGGAGAUGUCUGAAUGGGGGAACCCACCUACUUUAAGGUAGGUAUUGCAACAUGAAUACAUAGUGUUGCAAGGCGAACGAGGGGAAGUGAAACAUCUCAGUACCCUUAGGAAAAGAAAUCAAUUGAGAUUCCCUCAGUAGCGGCGAGCGAACGGGGAUCAGCCCAUUAAGUUAUGUGUGUUUUAGUGGAACGCUCUGGGAAGUGCGAACGUAGAGGGUGAUAUUCCCGUACACGAAAGGGCACACAUAAUGAUGACGAGUAGGGCGAGGCACGUGAAACCUUGUCUGAAUAUGGGGGGACCAUCCUCCAAGGCUAAAUACUCCUGACUGACCGAUAGUGAACCAGUACCGUGAGGGAAAGGCGAAAAGAACCCCUGUGAGGGGAGUGAAAUAGAUCCUGAAACCGCAUGCAUACAAGCAGUGGGAGCACCUUCGUGGUGUGACUGCGUACCUUUUGUAUAAUGGGUCAGCGACUUAUAUUCAGUAGCGAGGUUAACCGUAUAGGGGAGCCGUAGAGAAAUCGAGUCUUAAUAGGGCGUUUAGUUGCUGGGUAUAGACCCGAAACCAGGCGAUCUAUCCAUGAGCAGGUUGAAGGUUGGGUAACACUAACUGGAGGACCGAACCCACUGUCGUUGAAAAGCCAGGGGAUGACUUGUGGAUAGGGGUGAAAGGCUAAUCAAGCCUGGUGAUAGCUGGUUCUCCCCGAAAGCUAUUUAGGUAGCGCCUCGGACGAAUACCAUAGGGGGUAGAGCACUGUUUCGGCUAGGGGGUCAUCCCGACUUACCAAACCGAUGCAAACUCCGAAUACCUAUGAGUACUAUCCGGGAGACAGACUGCGGGUGCUAACGUCCGUAGUCAAGAGGAAAACAAUCCAGACCGCCAGCUAAGGCCCCAAAAUCAUAGUUAAGUGGGAAACGAUGUGGGAAGGCAUAGACAGCUAGGAGGUUGGCUUANNNNNNNNNNNNNGAAGCAGCCACCCUUUAAAGAAAGCGUAAUAGCUCACUAGUCGAGUCGGCCUGCGCGGAAGAUGUAACGGGGCUAAAACUAUGUGCCGAAGCUGCGGAUUUGACAUUAGUCAAGUGGUAGGGGAGCGUUCUGUAAGCCGAUGAAGGUGUAUUGAGAAGUNNNNNNNNNNNNNNNNNNNNNNNNNNNNNNNAUGCUGGAGGUAUCAGAAGUGCGAAUGCUGACGUGAGUAACGACAAAACGGGUGAAAAACCCGUUCGCCGAAAGACCAAGGGUUCCAGUCCAACGUUAAUCGGGGCUGGGUGAGUCGACCCCUAAGGCGAGGCCGAAAGGCGUAGUCGAUGGGAAAAUGGUUAAUAUUCCAUUACUUCUGUGUAAUGCGAUGAGAGGACGGAGAAGGCUAAAUCAGCCUGGCGUUGGUUGUCCAGGUGAAAGGAUGUAGGCAUGUAUCUUAGGCAAAUCCGGGGUACUCUAUGCUGAGAUCUGAUAGCAAGCUGUACUUGUACAGCGAAGUGGUUGAUGCCAUGCUUCCAGGAAAAGUCUCUAAGCUUCAGUUACACAGGAAUCGUACCCGAAACCGACACAGGUGGUCAGGUCGAGUAGACCAAGGCGCUUGAGAGAACUCUGCUGAAGGAACUAGGCAAAAUGGUACCGUAACUUCGGGAGAAGGUACGCUGUUGUUGGUGAUGGAACUCGCUUCCUGAGCUGACGACAGCCGCAGAAACCAGGCCGCUGCAACUGUUUAUUAAAAACAUAGCACUCUGCAAACACGAAAGUGGACGUAUAGGGUGUGAUGCCUGCCCGGUGCUGGAAGGUUAAUUGAUGGGGUUAGCGUAAGCGAAGCUCUUGAUCGAAGCCCCAGUAAACGGCGGCCGUAACUAUAACGGUCCUAAGGUAGCGAAAUUCCUUGUCGGGUAAGUUCCGACCUGCACGAAUGGCAUAAUGAUGGCGGCGCUGUCUCCAGCAGAGGCUCAGUGAAAUCGAAAUCGCUGUGAAGAUGCAGUGUACCCGCGGCUAGACGGAAAGACCCCGUGAACCUUUACUGCAGCUUGACACUGAACUUUGACCUUACUUGUGUAGGAUAGGUGGGAGGCUUUGAAGCUGGAACGCUAGUUCCAGUGGAGCCGUCCUUGAAAUACCACCCUGGUAAUGUUGAGGUUCUAACUCUGUCCCGUGAUCCGGGACGAGGACCGUGUCUGGUGGGUAGUUUGACUGGGGCGGUCUCCUCCUAAAGAGUAACGGAGGAGUACGAAGGUGCGCUCAGCGUGGUCGGAAAUCACGCGUAGAGUAUAAAGGCAAAAGCGCGCUUAACUGCGAGACCCACAAGUCGAGCAGGUACGAAAGUAGGUCUUAGUGAUCCGGUGGUUCUGUAUGGAAGGGCCAUCGCUCAACGGAUAAAAGGUACUCUGGGGAUAACAGGCUGAUACCGCCCAAGAGUUCAUAUCGACGGCGGUGUUUGGCACCUCGAUGUCGGCUCAUCUCAUCCUGGGGCUGAAGCAGGUCCCAAGGGUAUGGCUGUUCGCCAUUUAAAGAGGUACGCGAGCUGGGUUUAGAACGUCGUGAGACAGUUCGGUCCCUAUCUACCGUGGGCGCUGGAAAUUUGAGAGGAUCUGCUCCUAGUACGAGAGGACCAGAGUGGACGAACCUCUGGUGUACCGGUUGUGACGCCAGUCGCAUCGCCGGGUAGCUAUGUUCGGAAGGGAUAACCGCUGAAAGCAUCUAAGCGGGAAGCCUACCUCAAGAUAAGAUUUCCCUAGGACUUUAUGUCCUCUAAAGAGCCGUUCGAGACUAGGACGUUGAUAGGUUGGAUGUGGAAGCAUAGUGAUAUGUGAAGCUGACCAAUACUAAUUGCUCGUGAGGCUUGACUAUACAACACCCAAGCAGUUG
RNAcentral lists this ribosomal RNA (2961 nucleotides) under Acinetobacter baumannii. RNAcentral describes it as "bacterial LSU rRNA". It matches the Rfam family "Bacterial large subunit ribosomal RNA". Lineage: Bacteria; Pseudomonadati; Pseudomonadota; Gammaproteobacteria; Moraxellales; Moraxellaceae. The record is from RNAcentral.